Molecule: long non-coding RNA, 1567 nt
Filed under: Homo sapiens (human)
Lineage: Eukaryota; Metazoa; Chordata; Mammalia; Primates; Hominidae
Description: HSALNT0389213
Source: RNAcentral
ACAGUCGCUCACUCACCACAGCAGUGCCCAGAUCCCCGACACAAUGGAGUGAGCGAAGGAGACGAGCAGGUUGUGCCAGCGCCAGGUGCGCAGGGGGUCGGCGCGCACGUGCACGGGUAGGGGCAGGCGACAGAGCGCGCGCCGGAGCGCCCGGAAGGUCAGCGUGGCGCCCAGGAGCAGCGGCAGGGCGGGGUGCAGCAGUCGGGGCAUGCUGGCCCUCCCUGCCGUCCGCCCUCGAGGCCGCCUCCUAGGUCUGUUCUGGGAACCGGGAUCCCUCUCGGGCCAGUCCAGGCCGGCCGCCUCUCCCGCCGGCCGCCAGCCCCACACAGUUGGCGAAGCCCUCUAGGCCCCUUGGCUCCUCCUCGCCCUCCCUGCGAGGCCUCUGCCCCCGCCCCCAGCCGCCCGCGCCCCCGCCCCGCCCGCCUGCCCCCGCCCCGUCCGCCUGCCCCCGCCCCUCAGGCGCUGCUGCCGCGCGAGCCGGGUGUCCCCGUGGCCUCUCGGCCACCGGCCGGCUCCCGCGGACUUCGGGUAACUAGGAGCUGUGCUGGGGGCGUCGUCGCCGAGACACCCCUCGCUGGCGCCUCCCGACUGCCGACGGAGUCCCCGCUGCCCUCGCUCGCCUGGCCUCAUUAACCCGCGUCCCCACUUUUCCCCGGGCCACCGGCUACCCCGCCCUGGGCGGGUACCGCGAGAGCUCUCUCCGCCCUCUACUUUCUGCGCAGAGCUGGACGGGACCCGACACGCCCACGCCCCCUAAGUCCUGGUCCUGGGGUGGGCUCCGGAGCCCCGCGUCCGACAGUGGUCUCCGUGCAGACCCAGUGCCCCUACCGCACCACUCGCAGUCUUCUGGCCGGAGUCCCGUGUUUACCUGUCCCUCCCGCGCCCGCGAGGUGGGCACUUGGGAACUGCUGAGUAACCCAUCGCCACCUCUUCCCGCCGGCUCUUAAACUCCUGGGGCCGGGCGGCUGUCACAGUCCUCCCUCAGACAGUCCCGGCCCUCGGCCCGGCUCCCCGGAGGCUGGGCAAGCAAGACCUCCGAUUUGCCGGGACAGCUGGAGUGACCCGCGCUCUCCAAGCCGGUAGCUUGCAGCAGUUGCGGCUCCUAGCCACUAGGUGUCAGCCUGCCCUCACUGUGGCGCGGGCUCCCCCUCCCGCCUCCGAGCGAGGCAGCUGCUUUCGGGGAGAGUUUAGGUAUAAACUCUGGGCGAAAGGAGGAGCAGCUGAGAGCCAGCGAGGGAAGUUAAGCGGAGAUGAGAGCGGGGAGGGAGAAGAGGGUAGUAAUAGAGGAGGGGCGGGAAGAAGCGGGGGAGGGGAAAGGUGCUGCGGGCGGGAGGAAGAAGCCGAGAAAACCUGAGGCGCAAGGACCCAGGGACCAAGCCGUUUGAGUGUUUUCCUCCCCUAUGGCUCCAAGGUUACACAUUAACCCCUGUGGGACUCUUAAGUCAACCAAAGCCCAGUCGGUUUCUAGAUGGAGGCUCACUCUAUCGCCCAGGCUGGAGUGCAAUGGCACGAUCUCGGCUCACUGCAACCUCCGCCUCCCAGAUUCAAGCGAUUCUCCUGCCUCAGC